GAGCGGGGUGGAGUGGAUAUAGGCCAACUGAUGUCAUGCAGUUAUAGUGCAUGUUCCUCUUACUUAUCCAUGUCCGUACAUGUGUUGGUGCGGGCGAGACGCAGGAUAACUGUAAAUAACAUGAUUCAUAAAUAAUCAUUCUGAUGUCAGUGUACGUUCGAAUUGGCCUGUCCUCUGAAAGACAGUAGAAAGACGCAGUUGCAUUUAGGAUUAGUGAGCAAGCAGAUGUGUAUUGGAAGAAUAUUUCAAGUGUUUGUGCCUUAAAGUUCAGUGACUGGUUUAUCGUUUGUUCAAGAUGUGUUACCAGGGCAAAUUCUUCUACUGCAUCCCAGUCAAGACGGCCUGCUACGUUUUGGCCAUUAUAAAUGCGAUCGUGAACGCGGUGACCUUGGGAUGUUUUAGUAUUCAGGGGGUAGUAUACCUACUAGCAGCUGUCGUCAGCUUAUGCGUCGGCGCCGGCGGUGGUAA
This is a long non-coding RNA of Cydia fagiglandana, 468 nucleotides long. RefSeq lists it as uncharacterized. The record is from RefSeq and is a predicted model, not a curated record. NCBI's taxonomy places the organism in Eukaryota, Metazoa, Arthropoda, Insecta, Lepidoptera, Tortricidae. The transcript is spliced from 3 exons.